This 433-nucleotide ribosomal RNA is filed under the name uncultured bacterium. RNAcentral's name for it is "partial 16S ribosomal RNA". It matches the Rfam family "Bacterial small subunit ribosomal RNA", at positions 29 to 507 of the family's 1533-position model. The record is from RNAcentral.
AACGAACGCUGGCGGCAUGCCUAACACAUGCAAGUCGAACGAGACCUUCGGGUCUAGUGGCGCACGGGUGCGUAACGCGUGGGAACCUGCCUUUAGGUUCGGAAUAACUCAGAGAAAUUUGAGCUAAUACCGGAUGAUGUCUUCGGACCAAAGAUUUAUCGCCUUUAGAUGGGCCCGCGUUGGAUUAGCUAGUUGGUGGGGUAAAGGCCUACCAAGGCGACGAUCCAUAGCUGGUCUGAGAGGAUGAUCAGCCACACUGGGACUGAGACACGGCCCAGACUCCUACGGGAGGCAGCAGUGGGGAAUAUUGGACAAUGGGCGAAAGCCUGAUCCAGCAAUGCCGCGUGAGUGAUGAAGGCCUUUGGGUUGUAAAGCUCUUUUACCCGAGAUGAUAAUGACAGUAUCGGGAGAAUAAGCUCCGGCUAACUCCGUG